AAUCGGAAUUACUGGGCGUAAAGCGUGCGCAGGCGGUUAUAUAAGACAGUUGCGAAAUCCCCGGGCUUAACCUGGGAAUGGCGCUUGUGACUGCACGACUGGAGUGCGGCAGAGGGGGAUGGAAUUCCGCGUGUAGCAGUGAAAUGCGUAGAUAUGCGGAGGAACACCGAUGGCGAAGGCAGUCCCCUGGGCCUGCACUGACGCUCAUGCACGAAAGCGUGGGGAGCAAACAGGAUUAGAUACCCUGGUAGUCAAGGGCG
Molecule: ribosomal RNA, 260 nt
Filed under: uncultured Burkholderiales bacterium
Lineage: Bacteria; Pseudomonadati; Pseudomonadota; Betaproteobacteria; Burkholderiales
Description: partial 16S ribosomal RNA
Rfam family: Bacterial small subunit ribosomal RNA
Source: RNAcentral